UGCGCUAGUCUAUCUGGAUCAAUCAUCAUCCCCAUGAUGGUCCUAUGAUCAGAAGUAAUUUAAGAAUUAACCAUCAAUGACAGAUAUCUCAAAUUUUUAACUCUUUGAGAAUAUGUGUCAUCAUCUUAUUAAUCUCUUGGAUAAUUUAUGGAUACAUAAAAUAUGAAUGAUAAUAUAAAUACUUAUUAAGUACAAAAUCAUG
This 202-nucleotide long non-coding RNA is filed under the name Elaeis guineensis (African oil palm). RNAcentral's name for it is "long non-coding RNA (EGUI_LNC072690)". Lineage: Eukaryota; Viridiplantae; Streptophyta; Magnoliopsida; Arecales; Arecaceae. The record is from RNAcentral.